AGUCAGAGGCGAUGAAGGACGUGCUAAUCUGCGAUAAGCGUCGGUAAGGUGAUAUGAACCGUUAUAACCGGCGAUUUCCGAAUGGGGAAACCCAGUGUGAUUCGUCACACUAUCAUUAACUGAAUCCAUAGGUUAAUGAGGCGAACCGGGGGAACUGAAACAUCUAAGUACCCCGAGGAAAAGAAAUCAACCGAGAUUCCCCCAGUAGCGGCGAGCGAACGGGGAGCAGCCCAGAGCCUGAAUCAGUGUGUGUGUUAGUGGAAGCGUCUGGAAAGGCGCGCGAUACAGGGUGACAGCCCCGUACACAAAAAUGCACAUGCUGUGAGCUCGAUGAGUAGGGCGGGACACGUGGUAUCCUGUCUGAAUAUGGGGGGACCAUCCUCCAAGGCUAAAUACUCCUGACUGACCGAUAGUGAACCAGUACCGUGAGGGAAAGGCGAAAAGAACCCCGGCGAGGGGAGUGAAAAAGAACCUGAAACCGUGUACGUACAAGCAGUGGGAGCCUCUUUUAUGGGGUGACUGCGUACCUUUUGUAUAAUGGGUCAGCGACUUAUAUUCUGUAGCAAGGUUAACCGAAUAGGGGAGCCGAAGGGAAACCGAGUCUUAACUGGGCGUUAAGUUGCAGGGUAUAGACCCGAAACCCGGUGAUCUAGCCAUGGGCAGGUUGAAGGUUGGGUAACACUAACUGGAGGACCGAACCGACUAAUGUUGAAAAAUUAGCGGAUGACUUGUGGCUGGGGGUGAAAGGCCAAUCAAACCGGGAGAUAGCUGGUUCUCCCCGAAAGCUAUUUAGGUAGCGCCUCGUGAAUUCAUCUCCGGGGGUAGAGCACUGUUUCGGCAAGGGGGUCAUCCCGACUUACCAACCCGAUGCAAACUGCGAAUACCGGAGAAUGUUAUCACGGGAGACACACGGCGGGUGCUAACGUCCGUCGUGAAGAGGGAAACAACCCAGACCGCCAGCUAAGGUCCCAAAGUCAUGGUUAAGUGGGAAACGAUGUGGGAAGGCCCAGACAGCCAGGAUGUUGGCUUAGAAGCAGCCAUCAUUUAAAGAAAGCGUAAUAGCUCACUGGUCGAGUCGGCCUGCGCGGAAGAUGUAACGGGGCUAAACCAUGCACCGAAGCUGCGGCAGCGACGCUUAUGCGUUGUUGGGUAGGGGAGCGUUCUGUAAGCCUGUGAAGGUGUGCUGUGAGGCAUGCUGGAGGUAUCAGAAGUGCGAAUGCUGACAUAAGUAACGAUAAAGCGGGUGAAAAGCCCGCUCGCCGGAAGACCAAGGGUUCCUGUCCAACGUUAAUCGGGGCAGGGUGAGUCGACCCCUAAGGCGAGGCCGAAAGGCGUAGUCGAUGGGAAACAGGUUAAUAUUCCUGUACUUGGUGUUACUGCGAAGGGGGGACGGAGAAGGCUAUGUUGGCCGGGCGACGGUUGUCCCGGUUUAAGCGUGUAGGCUGGUUUUCCAGGCAAAUCCGGAAAAUCAAGGCUGAGGCGUGAUGACGAGGCACUACGGUGCUGAAGCAACAAAUGCCCUGCUUCCAGGAAAAGCCUCUAAGCAUCAGGUAACAUCAAAUCGUACCCCAAACCGACACAGGUGGUCAGGUAGAGAAUACCAAGGCGCUUGAGAGAACUCGGGUGAAGGAACUAGGCAAAAUGGUGCCGUAACUUCGGGAGAAGGCACGCUGAUAUGUAGGUGAGGUCCCUCGCGGAUGGAGCUGAAAUCAGUCGAAGAUACCAGCUGGCUGCAACUGUUUAUUAAAAACACAGCACUGUGCAAACACGAAAGUGGACGUAUACGGUGUGACGCCUGCCCGGUGCCGGAAGGUUAAUUGAUGGGGUUAGCGGUAACGCGAAGCUCUUGAUCGAAGCCCCGGUAAACGGCGGCCGUAACUAUAACGGUCCUAAGGUAGCGAAAUUCCUUGUCGGGUAAGUUCCGACCUGCACGAAUGGCGUAAUGAUGGCCAGGCUGUCUCCACCCGAGACUCAGUGAAAUUGAACUCGCUGUGAAGAUGCAGUGUACCCGCGGCAAGACGGAAAGACCCCGUGAACCUUUACUAUAGCUUGACACUGAACAUUGAGCCUUGAUGUGUAGGAUAGGUGGGAGGCUUUGAAGUGUGGACGCCAGUCUGCAUGGAGCCGACCUUGAAAUACCACCCUUUAAUGUUUGAUGUUCUAACGUUGACCCGUAAUCCGGGUUGCGGACAGUGUCUGGUGGGUAGUUUGACUGGGGCGGUCUCCUCCUAAAGAGUAACGGAGGAGCACGAAGGUUGGCUAAUCCUGGUCGGACAUCAGGAGGUUAGUGCAAUGGCAUAAGCCAGCUUGACUGCGAGCGUGACGGCGCGAGCAGGUGCGAAAGCAGGUCAUAGUGAUCCGGUGGUUCUGAAUGGAAGGGCCAUCGCUCAACGGAUAAAAGGUACUCCGGGGAUAACAGGCUGAUACCGCCCAAGAGUUCAUAUCGACGGCGGUGUUUGGCACCUCGAUGUCGGCUCAUCACAUCCUGGGGCUGAAGUAGGUCCCAAGGGUAUGGCUGUUCGCCAUUUAAAGUGGUACGCGAGCUGGGUUUAGAACGUCGUGAGACAGUUCGGUCCCUAUCUGCCGUGGGCGCUGGAGAACUGAGGGGGGCUGCUCCUAGUACGAGAGGACCGGAGUGGACGCAUCACUGGUGUUCGGGUUGUCAUGCCAAUGGCACUGCCCGGUAGCUAAAUGCGGAAGAGAUAAGUGCUGAAAGCAUCUAAGCACGAAACUUGCCCCGAGAUGAGUUCUCCCUGACUCCUUGAGAGUCCUGAAGGAACGUUGAAGACGACGACGUUGAUAGGCCGGGUGUGUAAGCGCAGCGAUGCGUUGAGCUAACCGGUACUAAUGAACCGUGAGGCUUAACCUU
This 2869-nucleotide ribosomal RNA is filed under the name Escherichia coli 2-011-08_S1_C3. RNAcentral's name for it is "bacterial LSU rRNA". It matches the Rfam family "Bacterial large subunit ribosomal RNA". The record is from RNAcentral. Lineage: Bacteria; Pseudomonadati; Pseudomonadota; Gammaproteobacteria; Enterobacterales; Enterobacteriaceae.